This 489-nucleotide ribosomal RNA is filed under the name uncultured bacterium. RNAcentral describes it as "bacterial SSU rRNA". It matches the Rfam family "Bacterial small subunit ribosomal RNA", at positions 30 to 507 of the family's 1533-position model. The record is from RNAcentral.
AUUGAACGCUGGCGGCAGGCUUAACACAUGCAAGUCGAACGGUAACAGAAAAUAGCUUGCUAUUUUGCUGACGAGUGGCGACGGGUGAGUAAUGCUUGGGAAUUUGCCUUAUGGUGGGGGACAACAGUUGGAAACGACUGCUAAUACCGCAUAAUCUCUUCGGAGCAAAGCAGGGGACCUUCGGGCCUUGCGCCAUUUGAUGAGCCCAAGUGGGAUUAGCUUGUUGGUAAGGUAACGGCUUACCAAGGCGACGAUCCCUAGCUGGUCUUAGAGGAUGACCAGCCACACUGGAACUGAGACACGGUCCAGACUCCUACGGGAGGCAGCAGUGGGGAAUAUUGCACAAUGGGGGGAACCCUGAUGCAGCCAUGCCGCGUGUGUGAAGAAGGCUUUCGGGUUGUAAAGCACUUUCAGCGAGGAGGAAAGGGUAGCGGUUAAUAACCGUUAUCUGUGACGUUACUCGCAGAAGAAGCACCGGCUAACUCCGUG